RNAcentral lists this ribosomal RNA (259 nucleotides) under uncultured bacterium. RNAcentral's name for it is "partial 16S ribosomal RNA". It matches the Rfam family "Bacterial small subunit ribosomal RNA", at positions 793 to 1055 of the family's 1533-position model. The record is from RNAcentral.
GUCCGCACGGUAAACGAUGGAUGCCCGCUGUUGGCGAUAUAAUGUCAGCGGCCAAGCGAAAGCGUUAAGCAUCCCACCUGGGGAGUACGCCGGCAACGGUGAAACUCAAAGGAAUUGACGGGGGCCCGCACAAGCGGAGGAACAUGUGGUUUAAUUCGAUGAUACGCGAGGAACCUUACCCGGGCUUGAAUUGCACAGGAAUGAUUCAGAGAUGAUGAAGCCCUUCGGGGCCUGUGUGAAGGUGCUGCAUGGUUGUCGU